RNAcentral lists this long non-coding RNA (369 nucleotides) under Panax ginseng (ginseng). RNAcentral's name for it is "long non-coding RNA (PGIN_LNC014751)". Lineage: Eukaryota; Viridiplantae; Streptophyta; Magnoliopsida; Apiales; Araliaceae. The record is from RNAcentral.
ACAGACUAAGUGAGUGUGAAAGUUGAACAAACCCAAAAACCAAUAAACAGAAUAGGAAUCCGAUGCCAAAACAAGGAAUAGAACCUGUGAAAAGCUUUGUGUUCCUAUAUGAAGGUAUGAUAUGUGCAAUAAAGAAUAAUCAGCGGAACUACACACAAUAAAGAAUCAAAGAAUUCAAGACAAAAUAUCGAAAAACCAACCUACAGAAAAAUGAUCAUCGGAUUCCGAAACACUCAGUGCAGAUUCAUAUGGAAGAACCUUGAUUUAUCAGCUGAAUGAAACUCACACCAAGCAUUGAACUCCAUCUCAAAUUGGUAGCUGAAAAACUGAUAAAGUGAUGAAUAGUACUGACCCAUAUCAGCAUUUGAG